RNAcentral lists this long non-coding RNA (3337 nucleotides) under Pan troglodytes (chimpanzee). RNAcentral's name for it is "long non-coding RNA NONPTRT013606". The record is from RNAcentral. Lineage: Eukaryota; Metazoa; Chordata; Mammalia; Primates; Hominidae.
UACAACUCCAAAUAUGUUGACUUGAUUGAGGAACAACUCAAUGAAGCACUUACCACUUACCGGAAGCCUGUCGAUGGUGAUAACUAUGUUCGUCGGAGUAACCAAAGAUUACAGCGUCCUCACGUCUACCUGCCUAUACACCUUUAUGGACAACUAGUACACCAUAAAACAGGCUGCCAUUUGUUGGAAGUACAGAAUAUUAUUACAGAACUCUGUCGUAAUGUUCGUACACCAGAUUUGGAUAAGUGGGAAGAAAUUAAAAAACUGAAAGCAUCUCUUUGGGCCUUGGGAAAUAUCGGCUCAUCAAAUUGGGGUCUCAAUUUGCUACAGGAAGAAAACGUGAUUCCAGAUAUACUAAAACUUGCAAAACAGUGUGAAGUUCUUUCCAUCAGAGGGACCUGUGUAUAUGUCCUUGGGCUCAUAGCUAAAACCAAACAAGGCUGUGAUAUUCUAAAAUGUCACAACUGGGAUGCUGUGAGGCAUAGUCGCAAACAUCUGUGGCCAGUGGUUCCAGAUGAUGUGGAACAACUCUGUAAUGAACUUUCAUCUAUCCCAAGCACUGCUCCAAACGGUUUGAACUCAGGAUCAACCAGCUCUAGACAUAAUAGCGAAAGUGAAUCUGUGCCAGCGAGUAUGUUCAUAUUGGAGGAUGACCGGUUUGGCAGCAGCUCUACUAGUACAUUUUUCCUUGAUAUCAACGAAGAUACAGAGCCAGCAUUUUAUGACCGAUCUGGACCCAUAAAGGAUAAAAAUUCAUUCCCUUUCUUUGCUUCUAGUAAACUUGUGAAGAAUCGUAUCUUAAAUUCGCUUACUUUGCCUAACAAAAAACAUCGUAGUAGCAGUGAUCCAAAAGGAGGGAAAUUAUCAUCUGAAAGUAAGACAAGCAACAGGCGAAUCAGAACACUUACGGAGCCCAGUGUUGAUUUUAAUCAUAGUGAUGAUUUUACACCCAUAUCCACUGUACAGAAAACAUUACAAUUAGAGACUUCAUUUAUGGGGAAUAAGCACAUUGAAGACACUGGUAGUACACCAAGCAUUGGAGAAAAUGACUUAAAAUUCACCAAGAAUUUUGGUACAGAGAAUCACAGAGAAAAUACAAGCCGAGAGAGGUUAGUAGUAGAAAGUUCAACGAGCUCACAUAUGAAGAUACGUAGCCAAAGUUUUAAUACAGACACUACAACAAGUGGCAUAAGUUCAAUGAGCUCAAGUCCUUCACGAGAGACAGUAGGUGUAGAUGCUACAACUAUGGACACAGACUGUGGAAGCAUGAGUACUGUGGUAAGUACUAAAACUAUUAAGACAAGCCACUAUUUGACGCCACAGUCUAACCAUCUGUCUCUCUCCAAAUCAAAUUCGGUGUCCCUGGUGCCUCCAGGUUCUUCUCAUACGCUUCCUAGAAGAGCACAGUCCCUUAAAGCACCCUCUAUUGCUACAAUUAAAAGUCUAGCAGAUUGUAACUUUAGUUACACAAGUUCUAGAGAUGCUUUUGGCUAUGCUACACUGAAAAGACUACAGCAACAAAGAAUGCAUCCAUCCUUAUCUCACUCUGAAGCUUUGGCAUCUCCAGCAAAAGAUGUGCUAUUUACUGAUACCAUCACCAUGAAGGCCAACAGUUUUGAGUCCAGAUUAACACCAAGCAGGUUCAUGAAAGCCUUAAGUUAUGCAUCAUUAGAUAAAGAAGAUUUAUUGAGUCCUAUUAAUCAAAAUACCCUGCAACGAUCUUCCUCAGUGCGGUCCAUGGUGUCCAGUGCCACAUAUGGGGGUUCAGAUGAUUACAUUGGUCUUGCUCUCCCGGUGGAUAUAAAUGAUAUAUUCCAGGUAAAGGAUAUUCCCUAUUUUCAGACAAAAAACAUACCACCACAUGAUGAUCGAGGUGCAAGAGCAUUUGCCCAUGAUGCAGGAGGUCUUCCAUCUGGAACUGGAGGUCUUGUAAAAAAUUCUUUUCACUUGCUACGACAGCAGAUGAGUCUUACGGAAAUAAUGAAUUCAAUCCAUUCAGAUGCCUCUCUGUUUUUAGAAAGUACAGAAGACACUGGACUACAGGAACAUACAGAUGAUAACUGCCUUUAUUGUGUCUGUAUUGAAAUUCUGGGUUUCCAGCCCAGCAACCAACUGAGUGCAAUAUGUAGUCAUUCAGACUUUCAAGAUAUUCCAUAUUCUGAUUGGUGUGAGCAGACUAUCCAUAAUCCUUUAGAAGUGGUUCCCUCUAAGUUUUCGGGGAUUUCUGGAUGCAGUGAUGGGGUGUCUCAAGAAGGCUCAGCUAGCAGCACCAAAAGCACAGAAUUGUUACUAGGUGUUAAAACAAUUCCAGAUGAUACACCAAUGUGCCGUAUACUCCUUCGCAAAGAAGUUCUAAGAUUAGUCAUUAAUUUGAGUAGUUCAGUUUCAACUAAAUGUCAUGAGACUGGGCUUUUAACGAAUUAAGGAGAAGUAUCCUCAAACAUUUGAUGACAUAUGCCUUUACUCUGAGGUUUCCCAUUUGCUGUCACACUGCACAUUCAGACUUCCGUGUCGGAGGUUCAUACAAGAAUUAUUUCAAGAUGUACAGUUUCUACAAAUGCAUGAAGAAGCAGAGGCUGUGUUGGCAACACCACCAAAGCAACCUAUAGUUGAUACAUCUGCUGAAUCCUGACCUCAUAUUUAUGAUGGAUAUAGAUACAUACUAUAUAUAUUCAUAUUUGUGGAUUUCCUAAAAGCCUCAGAAAAUACGACUGACUAGGCAGCAAAGACAGGAGUAUCUUCUGCACACUGUUCCGCAGUUACUGGUACAUGAACAGUUGGAACUGCUGACUUUCCUAACCAAAACAACUUCCUUCUCUCCUUUGUUGAGCCUUUUGAGGGGUUCAUGAUUCAUUACCACAGUUUUAAGAGUUUUAGUUACCAUUGUAUGCAAGAGCCAAGCACUGAAUACCUACAUAGGUUUUCUAUUUUCUUUCAUUUUAAAAGCAUAAUGACAGUGGAACAAUAAUGGGAUAUGCAGAAGCACCCUUCACAAGUUAUUUCUGAAUGAUUUUUAGGGUAAAUUUACAGAUGCCUUGUUUGUUAACUAAUUUGUGGAAAGCAGGAAUCAGUGUCUCUAAGGCUGCAUCCUGUUACCACAAUGGGGUGUGCUAUAACUGCUGGUAUUAGAGAGGGAACUUUGGCCCUUUCAUGUUUUUCUUAAUGUUUGUAACACUACUUCAGAGGUUUAUAACCUCAAAGCAGAAGAAGAGCCUCAACAACCCGGGACUUAUAAGUUAUUUUUAUGUUACUAGACUUGCAUAAAGAUUCUUGUUUUCCAACUCUUCAUUUUGUUGCAAUGUGUUAUUACAGGAUAUAUGAACCAAUUAAGGUUUUU